This 90-nucleotide unclassified non-coding RNA is filed under the name Pseudomonas jessenii. The record is from RNAcentral. Lineage: Bacteria; Pseudomonadati; Pseudomonadota; Gammaproteobacteria; Pseudomonadales; Pseudomonadaceae.
UGUGGGAGCGAGCUUGCUCGCGAUGGCGUGGUGUCAGUCAACUUCAAUGGUGACUGAUACACCGCUAUCGCGAGCAAGCUCGCUCCCACA